Molecule: ribosomal RNA, 253 nt
Filed under: uncultured bacterium
Lineage: Bacteria
Description: partial 16S ribosomal RNA
Rfam family: Bacterial small subunit ribosomal RNA
Source: RNAcentral
UACGUAGGGGGCUAGCGUUGUCCGGAAUCAUUGGGCGUAAAGAGCGUGUAGGCGGCCCGGUAAGUCCGCUGUGAAAGUCGGGGGCUCAACCCUCGAAUGCCGGUGGAUACUGCAGGGCUAGAGUCCGGAAGAGGCGAGUGGAAUUCCUGGUGUAGCGGUGAAAUGCGCAGAUAUCAGGAGGAACACCCGUGGCGAAGGCGGCUCUCUGGGACGGUACUGACGCUGAGACGCGAAAGCGUGGGGAGCGAACAGG